RNAcentral lists this ribosomal RNA (460 nucleotides) under uncultured bacterium. RNAcentral's name for it is "partial 16S ribosomal RNA". It matches the Rfam family "Bacterial small subunit ribosomal RNA", at positions 338 to 795 of the family's 1533-position model. The record is from RNAcentral.
CCUACGGGAGGCUGCAGUGAGGAAUAUUGGUCAAUGGGCGCUAGCCUGAACCAGCCAAGUAGCGUGAAGGAUGACUGCCCUAUGGGUUGUAAACUUCUUUUAUAUGGGAAUAAAGUGCAGUAUGUAUACUGCUUUGCAUGUACCUUAUGAAUAAGGAUCGGCUAAAUCCGUGCCAGCAGCCGCGGUAAUACGGAGGAUCCGAGCGUUAUCCGGAUUUAUUGGGUUUAAAGGGAGCGUAGGCGGGUUGUUAAGUCAGUUGUGAAAGUUUGCGGCUCAACCGUAAAAUUGCAGUUGAUACUGGCAGCCUUGAGUACAGUAGAGGUAGGCGGAAUUCGUGGUGUAGCGGUGAAAUGCUUAGAUAUCACGAAGAACUCCGAUUGCGAAGGCAGCCUGCUGGACUGUAACUGACGCUGAUGCUCGAAAGUGUGGGUAUCAAACAGGAUUAGAUACCCUAGUAGUC